This 2676-nucleotide long non-coding RNA is filed under the name Ananas comosus (pineapple). Its description in RNAcentral is "long non-coding RNA (ACOM_LNC020715)". Lineage: Eukaryota; Viridiplantae; Streptophyta; Magnoliopsida; Poales; Bromeliaceae. The record is from RNAcentral.
AAAUUUAGGUUUUAUUAUAUGUCAUCGUCACAACUUGCAAUCUAUGCAGCAGAUUUUGUAUAGAUUGAUUAUCACACUCAUGUCCAGUUUAUGAAUAAUAUACGAGUUCAUAGAAAAUUGUAUAUGGAGUAAAUGGGUUAUAUUAGAUAACUUAUAAGAAAAUUACAUAUAUAUAUAUAUAUAUAUAUAUAUAUAGAGCUAGGCUACUAUACUAUCUAUAGUACCGAGCUCCGGUACUAUAGUGUUUGUUUUCGAUCUUAGGGCGUUCAAAUCAACGAUCCACACCGUUAAAUAUGAUCUAGGGUAUAUGAAUUUCUUAGGAAUAAAAUUUUAGUUUUUUUCGAUAUCGUUUACUUAGUAAAUAAAUUAUAUCAAAAUGGACGGUGGAAAUUGAAUAAUCUUUAAAAUUUGAGCAUAGGACUUUUAAAUUCAAGAUCAAGAAUGUUAACCUUAAUCUAUAUAGUUUAAAGUAUUUUCUAUCAAAAUUUGAAGAAAUUUAGAUUCUUCUACACCGUUAAACUCCAAACUCGUCAUAAUAGCCGUUGAAAAUUGACAAUUUUGAAAUAGUUUGAUCAUAAAAUAAACUAUGUCGAAAAAAUAUAAAAUUUUAUUUCUAGAAACUUUAAAUACCCUAGAUCAGUUUUAACGGUAUGGAUCGUUGAUUUGAACGCCCUAAGAUCGAAAAUCAAUACUAUAGUACCGGAACUCGGUACUAUAGAUAGUAUAGUAGCCUAGCUCUAUAUAUAUAUAUAUAUAUAUAUAUAUAUAUGCAUGGUACUCAAUUUCAUUAGAUUAACUCUUUUCAUCUUGCUCAACCUUUCAUAUCUGUCACAAGUAAUCUAAUGGCAAAAGCUGGGAGGUGUUUUAACCAAAUUAUAGGAAAACCAUCAAUGUUUAACCAAAUUAUAGGAAAACCAUCAACAUCUAGGACUUUGAAGCACCAUUGUGAAGAACUAAUCCUAGAUGAUGAUACGGAUGUAAAAUAAUAAUUUAAGGAAUCAAGAAAUGAGUAGUUAUCACUGAUUGGAUAAAGUCAAUUAUAUUAGCCAUGUCAAAAGCUAUCAUCUGUCAAUAAAUUGUGGCAGCUCACCAAAUUCACAAAUAUUUCCUUAGCAAGCAGCUCCACAACAAAAAUUACUAGAAUUAAAUUUAAUUCUCAAUUCAUGCCAGGUCAUCUAAUAUUUGAAGGAAAUGGAGGGCUUGGUCGACCAAGGAACCAAGUUAUAGCUUUACAACCAAAUUCCAUUCUGGAUUCAAGAAGCAUACAAAUCCAGAAGGUCACAAUUGAUGUGACAUCCAAAUUUAAUAAAAUUUAUUCAAGCCAUAGCAUAUCAAUUUCAAUAGGAUCCUCGGAUGUGGUAACCAACAUUUUUCUUUUAAUCACAUUCAUUCAUCUGGAAUUGAAAGAGUCCACCUCUCUAUGUAGUCAACCUAUAAAGGAUGACUACGGUUGUUAUUAAAGCACUUUUUCAAUAGGAAGAGUUGUCACUCAAAAGACUUCAUCAGCAAAGAGGGGACCAGGGAAAAGAAACCAACCAUCCAAAUCAACCCAACUGCAGCAUGAUUAAGUAAUUUCUAAACAUAUCUUCACCGUCAGUUUAAGUUAGUUCGCUACUUUACUCAAUUACUCAAACAAAAGUUUAUAGCAUUUCCACCAAAGCUUGUCAAAAAGUUUAAAAAGGUAAUUUUUAAAUUACGAAAACGAAGAGGAUCUAUUGAAUGAUAUUUGUAGUUGAUACGCUUGUAUUUUUGGAAAUUUGUGGCCAACUUACCUCAAUCUUGUUCUUGUCACAGAAUCUAACCACAAGAAAAAUCUAACCACAAGAAAAAAAUAAUAAUAAUAAGACAAGUUUGAAUCACUAUCACGUGUAUUAAGACAAAUUGACUUUGUGAAAGCUUUUUGAUUUAACUCACAUUUUGCGCCCCGGAGGACAAAUUCAAAACGAAGUUGUAUAUAAUCGAUGUGAUGUUCACCCAAUUGCAAGGUGGAAUCUUUUAAAUCCUAGAUGUGCAAAGAAAUGGUGGCACUACAACCAAACUUCUUUACUCCAACAUUGUUUUAGACUGCACUAUUGAGAGGUCCAACAUCAUACUAAAAAUUGCAUUAAAUUUUCUAAUUAUAGUAUAGCAAAAAUUAAAAUGUUACAAAUUUUAGGGGCCAAAGUGAAUUUUUUUUUCAUACAAAGCUUAUUUUUUAUAAAUCCAACUUCUGUUAUAACUUGUUUUAUAAAUUUCUUUUAAAAUAAAUAUAUUAUAUAUUUUUUAUCUCUUCGAGCCUAAAUUCUGGCUUAGUCCCUGGUUUUAUAGGCGAGCAUUAAACAACUUGCCCCUCUUGUCAACAAUUGUUUGAGUGCUCAACCCCUAGUGUUAUUUGGGUCCUUCUAAGAUUUUGUUUUUCUCCUCCUUUAAUCUUUAUUUUAGGGCUCUCACACCCGAUAAUCCCCCUCCCUCACUCCUCGAAGCCUUCCCCUUUAGAAUCCGAACUCAUAAGUACUCAAAAUCUCAGUUAUAACUACUAAGCUAUAUGGCCAUUGCUCUAUUCUUGAAUUGGAUAAAAUAAGAGGAAAAAAACAUCUAACUAUUUAUUUUCUAAAGUGCUGCUACAAAUUUCUCGUAAUAUUGUAUUUAUAUAUUGUUGACGUGUUGGCACUAUAAUAUAGAGAGAUUUGAUUGGUU